GCCACACCAUGGCUUCGAGGACUGGUCCCAGAUCCGCUACCCCCCUCCCCCCAUGGCCAUGGAGCACCCGCCCCCACUCCCCAACUCGCGCCUCUUCCAUCUGCCGGAAUACACCUGGCGUCUACCCUGUGGAGGGGUUCGAAAUCCAAAUCAGAGCUCCCAAGUGAUGGACCCUCCCACAGCCAGGCCUACAGAACCAGAGUCUCCAAAAAAUGACCGUGAGGGGCCUCAGUGAGACCAGAUUGUGUCAUUUGGCUCCACCUUCAUCUUGCAGAGCCAGCUGAUCUCAGAUUGCCAAGAAACUAGAAGCCACUUGCACGGUGUGGCCAGAGCCUCAGCUGGAUGAGAGGCUGAGAUGGGUGGCCAGCUUGUACACCAGUCCCUGAACUGAGCUGUUUACAGGACUGGGGAGGCUCCACCCAGAAGGCUUUCAUUUGUACUCUGCUGGGAGUGACUGGGAAAAACUCCUUCCCUGCUGCUGAGUGGAGAGAGGCCUCAUCCGGCUUUGACCCACCAUCCGUUGCAGAAGCCUCCAGGAGCAGCAAUCCUAAGAGUGGGAGGCAGCCAAGACCCCCUUCCUUCAAAACCUCCCGGAAGUGGUUUCAGGCCCUCUAGUUGCCAUGACCAAUUUGUGUGUGUGUUUAAUUUUUGCUUCAAGCUCUGUAGCAGGACCUGCCCCACGCACACCCCUACCCCUCUGUGAGGAGCUGUGGGAAGUGUGGGUUUGUCUCCAGAACAGAAGAGAAUGAUGGAUAUUCUGGCUCUGGGGCCCUCUCCACCACCACUCACAGUAGCCUUGCUGAAGCCAUCACAGAUGGGAGAAGGCCAUGCCAGCCACGUCCGCCGAGGGGCGCCAGCCUGAAGCUGCCAGGCCCUGAGGUUCAGACCCUGGACCCCAUAGCUGGAGGCCUGUGGUGCCAGAAGCCCAGAUUAGGGUGGCUGUCCAUCCCUGGAUAGCUAUUUGCACGAAUCAUGGACAUAAAUCCAAGUUGAAGAAGAUC
This 1001-nucleotide long non-coding RNA is filed under the name Homo sapiens (human). RNAcentral describes it as "long non-coding RNA NONHSAT204875.1". Lineage: Eukaryota; Metazoa; Chordata; Mammalia; Primates; Hominidae. The record is from RNAcentral.